ACUUCGGGAAGACCACCCCCCUGUCCGAGGGACAGACCCUGACCCACCGGGCAGAGUGGUGCGAGGGAAACCGCGAGGACGGCUACCUGUGGGGGCUGGACAACAUGGUGGGGUUGGUCAGGAACAUCGCCAGGGACCUGCCGGAGAAGACAGUGGACAACCUGGACUCACCAGAGCAGACAGGAGACCCAGGACUGACCAUCAACCAAGACUGACCAUCAACCAAGACAGGCCAUCAACCAAAAAUGACCAUCAACCAGGACUGACCAUACACAAGGACUGACCAACAACCAAGACUGACCAUACACUAGGACUGACCAUCAACCAGAACUGACCAUCAAUCAGGACUGACCAGUACACGCAGGCAUUGCCCAGGACUGGACUGUACACUGGACACAGCAACACGCAUUCAGACUUCAACUAGUACACUGCACAAAACAGCACACACAGGCAUUAACCAGGACUGACCAACACAUCAUCAUGCACUCGCACAUAUUCACAUACGCGCACAUGCACACACACACACACACUGACACACACACACAUGCGCACAAACACACUUACACAUAUACACACGUGCACACACAUGACAUGUGGAAACACACACCGACACACGUGCACACACACACCUAGGACUGUUAUUAUUAUACUUUAUUUGAUUGUUAAAAGCUCUGAGAGAGUCGAUCGACUGAACACUUCCUGCCCCUUCCAGCCCACGCUGGCCACUACAGGGGGUGCACAGCUGGGUCUCGCACAGCACUACUGCAGUGUGGGCUGACUGUCUCUACAGGGGCUGAGGCUGUGAGGAGAGACUUGUAACUGCAGUUACAACUGGACAGAAUUGCAAACAAGCUGGCUGGGCGUGGAUUGACAAGAGAAGGGAGAUCAUCGUUUCGUUCUAGUUUUAUUUGAAAUGUUUACACAGAAGGAUUUUAAAGGACGUCAAGCUAGUGGAAUUAUUGUAGUGACUCUUAACCUGUUAUAAAGGAACAUCAGUAAGCAGGUGUGAUGUGGUCCUGUAGCAAGGCGGCACGGUCAGCAGGUCAGCAGGUGUGAUGUGGUCCUGUAGCACAGAGGCAGGGUCAGCAGGUCAGCAGGUGUGAUGUGGUCCUGUAGCACAGAGGCAGGGUCAGCAGGUCAGCAGGUGUGAUGUGGUCCUGUAGCACAGAGGCAGGGUCAGCAGGUCAGCAGGUCAGCAGGUGUGACGUGGUCCUGUAGUACAGAGGCAGGGUCAGCAGGUCAGCAGGUGUGAUGUGGUCCUGUAGUACAGAGGCAGGGUCAGCAGGUGUGAUGUGGUCCUGUAGCACAGAGGCAGGGUCAGCAGGUCAGCAGGUGUGAUGUGGUCCUGUAGUACAGAGGCAGGGUCAGCAGGUCAGCAGGUGUGAUGUGGUCCUGUAGCACAGAGGCAGGGUCAGCAGGGUCAGCAGGUGUGAUGUGGUCCUGUAGCACAGAGGCAGGGUCAGCAGGUCAGCAGGUCAGCAGGUGUGACGUGGUCCUGUAGUACAGAGGCAGGGUCAGCAGGUGUGACGUGGUCCUGUAGCACAGAGGCAGGGUCAGCAGGUCAUCAGGUGUGAUGUGGUCCUGUAGCACAGAGGCAGGGUCAGCAGGUGUGAUGUGGUCCUGUAGUACAGAGGCAGGGUCAGCAGGUCAGCAGGUGUGAUGUGGUCCUGUAGCACAGAGGCAGGGUCAGCAGGUCAGCAGGGAUUCACACAUGGGUAGAAGAGGAGACUGAUAAUCCAAUCACAGCUCUUACCUUUAGACUCACUGAUGAUGCAAAAAGCCCUUGUGGACAGAAGCAUGUUUUCGUGGUCUUUAGCAGAGAGCAUCAAUGCUGUAAUGAGAAACGGAACCCCAAUACUAUCAACGAUGCUCCGCUCAGGUUUGUUUAAAAUGUUGCUCACCCUUUCAGCAGCACUGACCAGCAUGUGUUUGUCACUGAGCGAGUCUUUAACAGGUAAUAAAGCCACACAGCCUGCUCUCUACUAGAUUACAUUCCAUUUUGAAAAACAUGUAGGUCAUGUUGAUAGAGUAGAACACUAAGUCCAGAUUACCGCUUUCAACCAGAGAAACCUUUUUAUUCUACUGUCAUUUUAAACCGUGUUCAUUAUUUACUCUCUUCAAUGUGUAAUAAUAUCACAUGGACACACUACCCUGUGUUCCAGAAAAGAAAACUGGGAAAAUAUAAAACUAGUACUAUUAAUAUUAUUAAUAUUAUUAUUACUGUUAUUUGUAACACUUAUUUAAUACAUGCAGAAUUGAUUGACAGAUUGCCCAUUGCGAUCCUGCUGUAUCAGAGCGCAUACUAAGCUUUCACUGCUUCAAUAGUGACACCUUGUGGCAGCAAUGUGAUACACCCACAAGCAGCUUCACUGCAGAGAGGCUGGGAGCGGAUUGAGGCUCAAGCUUCUCUGGUAGAGCAGGCAGCUCUUUUAGCAGGUGCUGCUCAGUGGGUUACUCUUUCAAACUAGUGCUGAGUGGCACCAGGGAGAUGCAAUGAACAAACAAAGAGUAUGUGUCUAUUUAUAAGAGGCACUGCUGUGUUUAUGAACACAAGAUGUAAGAACACUACUGUAUGCAUUCACUGUAUGUCUGUGCAUAGAGGUUUUGUAACGCUGAGACUUUGGAAUUCACCUAGCAACACUUUCCAAUAAAAUUCCAGAGCCAGGA
Molecule: long non-coding RNA, 2667 nt
Organism: Polyodon spathula (Mississippi paddlefish)
Lineage: Eukaryota; Metazoa; Chordata; Actinopteri; Acipenseriformes; Polyodontidae
Exons: 2
Source: RefSeq, a predicted model, not a curated record